Magnolia sinica is the source of this 2975-nucleotide RNA transcript. RefSeq lists it as uncharacterized. NCBI's taxonomy places the organism in Eukaryota, Viridiplantae, Streptophyta, Magnoliopsida, Magnoliales, Magnoliaceae. The transcript has 5 exons. The record is from RefSeq and is a predicted model, not a curated record.
CACAGGUACCGUACACGUGGGGCCACAUCUAACUGCAGAUCCGCGACUGCGAGUAGAGAUAAUUUCUUCUUUCAGCUCCCCGUCGUCCUCCUCGUCCUCCGCCGAACUUCAAAAAUCCCGCUAGAUCUUCUGCAAAAUGGCGAUCCCGACCGUCGAUUCCUCCAACCGCUUCCUCCGACUCGGGUCGAUCCCAUUCGUCGACCUCCGAUUCCUGACUCAGUCCGAACUCAGCUCGCUCUCUCUCUGCUCUGAGGACGCCUUCGAUCUCUGCAGCUGCGACGACACCAUCGUCCCCAAGAUCGACCGCUCCAUCUUCAACGAGAGCGCUGGCAGCCGGAAGCAAACCUACUCGCGGAUCCUACUCGCCCCUCACAGCUCCGACAUGGGCCGCCGCCGCCGGCGCCGGCCCGGCCUCUACCCCGUCUCCCGGCCGCCACCCGACCCGGUUGACGACUCGGAGCAGAGAGAGAACAGGCAGAUCGUCUUCUUCCUCCGCCAGCUCUUCUCCCAGCGGAAGAGCACCAAUGGCAGCGGGCCGUGCGGCGACGACGGCCAACAGGAUACGGGCACGGCUAUCGUGCUUUACAGCAGGGGGAGUGAGGUUGUGAACCGAGAUGGGGUUGUGAUUGAUGUCGCGGCACUGGCUGAUUGCCAGGAUCCAUUCGGGCCGGAAUUGAGGAAGCGGACGGAGGGUUUGGAGACAGAAGCGGAGCUGCUGGGGUUUUUGAAUGGAUUGGAGGGUCGUUGGGGGAGCCGGAGGAGGAAGAGGAAGAUCGUCGAUGCAGCAGAGUUUGGGGAUGAGCUCCCGAUCGGUUGGAAGAUUUUAAUUGGGAUUAAGCGGAAAGAAGGACGUGUUUGGCUGUAUUGCCGUCGAUACAUUAGCCCAAGUGGGCAGCAGUUUGAGACCUGCAAGGAAGUUUCUUCAUAUUUGCACCCUUAUGUUACAUCGCAAGAUCCAAUCCAGCCCGUUUCUGUUGACAUCAACGAGAGCACUCAUGGGACUUGCAAUGUGGCUUCUGGAAGUACUCAAGGUCCUGCCCGGGAAGAUGAAAUUGCAACGGAAGUUCCCAUUUGCUAUUCAGCAGUGCCCAUUUCUUCUAUUUCUCCUGACCAUGAGAAGCAAGUCUUAUUUAGGGUUGAGAAUCCGGCGAAGACCCAACUGAGGGAGAUUCUAGGAUGUAACAAAUGCAAUCUGACUUUUGGCGAUAAGGAUGCAUGUGUGCAGCACUUAUUAUCCUUCCAUAAAAGGAGCGCAAAGAGGUGUAGGCUUGGCAAAUCCAUUGGCGAUGGGGUCAUAAUAAGAGACGGGAAAUAUGAAUGCCAGUUUUGCCACAAGAGUUUUGAUGAACGACGCCGUUACAAUAGUCAUGUUGGGGUUCAUGUGAGGGACUACGAUAAGAGUCUUGCAGCAUUGCCAGAUGAGAUAAUUGUGCAAACGAGCAUUGACUCAUCAUCCUUGGCUGGGAUCCCUUUAGCUGUCUCUGAGAUGGAUAUCUCAGUUGAAAUGGACAACAAUGGGGACUCCCUUCCGACGACUCCAAUGGACAAGUCGGGUGAUGAUGAGCUUAAUGUCAGUCCGCCUCGUAGCAAACAAGAUCCUGAGAAUGCUGAAGCUGCUGAUGGUCCACAACUUAAUGCACUUGAAAUUACUCAGGAACCCUUGCCAAGCAAAUCUGUUGAUGGGCAGGAUGACAUUUAUAUGACGACCGAUGCUAAAGUGGGGAUGAGUGUCGAGCAUAACAACGGCAUGGAUGAUAAACGUAAUGCAUGCUUUGAUGCUACAACUCAAUUGCGUGGUGAGGAGAAAAAUGUUACUAGUGAUGCUUCUAAUGAAAAAGAUAAUUUUCCUAGCACUAUGCCUGAUGAAAUCGAUAGAUCCAACCACGAGCGGGAACAGGGUUAUGAAAGCUGUCCAGUUACUCUACCUGAUAAUGAGCAAACUCAUAGUAUUGGAACUUCAGCAGAUGUUAUCUUGUCCAGUGGUGCAAAUGUACCUAUGCUUGAUGAAAUGGAAAAAUGUGAUGACGAGCUGGAAAGUGAUUUUGGAAGCAGCCCUCCUGAAUGUGAUGAAGACAGUGAUGUGGGGAUUACUGGGGGCGCCAAUGAAGGAAAUGCACUGCAGAGUGUGGCAGCCUACCCACUGUCAUCAGGCUGUUUUACCUCCCUUGAUAUGGUAUCCGAUAAGGGAGAAGAACUUGGUACUGUUAGUCGGAAGCUUGAGAACAUAUCACCUUUCAAAGAGCUAGGGUUGGAUGACAUUGAUGAUCCGAAGAUUGGUUUCACGAUUGGCCAAGAUUCAAGCACCCUGUCAGAGGCACCCAUGGAUUUGGCUUACUGUCCAGAAUUGGAACAAGGGCUUGAUCCAUCUGUUCAGUUUGAGUGGGACCCAGUAUUACCGGAGGUGGCUAGCAGGCAUCAGGUCACAACCAAUUGCGUUUGGUGCAGAAUAGAGUUCAAACUCGAAGGUUUCAACCCCGAAACACAAUCAGAUUCAGUCGGUUUUAUGUGUCCCAGCUGCAAGGCCAAGAUAUCAGGACAGCUCAAAGUAUUGGAUAACGGCUCGCCCAUGAAAUCUGACAAGCUCUGACUGUGGACCUGUGGCUUACUUCUCAUCCAAGCAUAAACAAUUCUUUGGUAAGAGGUGAUCUCGGUUUGCCAAAACUGGAGACAGGCAUGUUGUCCAAUCAAGCCAGUCAGCAGGGUUUGCCACGCACUGCAGCACAAGGAAACGCCAUCAGAAAGACUCAGGACUGUCUCGCGGCUUGUCGUGGAUAUAGGCAUGUGAAUCCUGUGCUGUGCUGGAGCUGGGAAUGCAAUUGGGGAUAGCACUGUGAGUGUGACAAUCCGAAAAAGAAAAAAAAAGAGAAGUUAUCGUCUCUCAUCCUUUCUAAUUAGUUGUCAGUUGCCUUUAGAAAUUCUGUUUCUGGCUACAGUUUUAUUUUAUUCAAGAGGGCAUGUUGCCUCUCCAUUUGCUG